This 253-nucleotide ribosomal RNA is filed under the name uncultured bacterium. Its description in RNAcentral is "partial 16S ribosomal RNA". It matches the Rfam family "Bacterial small subunit ribosomal RNA", at positions 524 to 776 of the family's 1533-position model. The record is from RNAcentral.
UACGGAGGGUGCAAGCGUUAAUCGGAAUUACUGGGCGUAAAGCGUGCGUAGGCGGCGCGUUAAGUCAGAUGUGAAAGCCCUGGGCUUAACCUGGGAACUGCAUUUGAUACUGGCGCGCUAGAGUUUAAUAGAGGGGAGUGGAAUUUCCGGUGUAGCGGUGAAAUGCGUAGAGAUCGGAAGGAACACCAGUGGCGAAGGCGACUCCCUGGAUUAAAACUGACGCUGAGGUACGAAAGCGUGGGUAGCAAACAGG